Molecule: non-coding RNA, 73 nt
Organism: Podarcis lilfordi (Lilford's wall lizard)
Lineage: Eukaryota; Metazoa; Chordata; Lepidosauria; Squamata; Lacertidae
Source: the annotation of a GenBank genome assembly
GCCUCAGGUGGCACAAUUGGUUUGUGCAUCUGGCUGGUAGCCAGAAGGCUGGUGGUUCAAGCCCACCCAGGGA